This 403-nucleotide ribosomal RNA is filed under the name Verrucomicrobiota bacterium. Its description in RNAcentral is "Verrucomicrobia bacterium partial 16S ribosomal RNA". It matches the Rfam family "Bacterial small subunit ribosomal RNA", at positions 355 to 776 of the family's 1533-position model. Lineage: Bacteria; Pseudomonadati; Verrucomicrobiota. The record is from RNAcentral.
UGGGGAAUAUUGCACAAUGGGCGCAAGCCUGAUGCAGCAACGCCGCGUGAACGAUGAAGGUCUUCGGAUCGUAAAGUUCUGUUGCAGGGGAAGAUAAUGACGGUACCCUGUGAGGAAGCCCCGGCUAACUACGUGCCAGCAGCCGCGGUAAUACGUAGGGGGCUAGCGUUAUCCGAAUUUACUGGGCGUAAAGGGUGCGUAGGUGGUCUUUCAAGUCGGUGGUUAAAGGCUACGGCUCAACCGUAGUUAGCCUCCGAAACUGGAAGACUUGAGUGCAGGAGAGGAAAGUGGAAUUCCCAGUGUAGCGGUGAAAUGCGUAGAUAUUGGGAGGAACACCAGUAGCGAAGGCGGCUUUCUGGACUGCAACUGACACUGAGGCACGAAAGCGUGGGUAGCAAACAGG